This 539-nucleotide ribosomal RNA is filed under the name Bifidobacterium pseudocatenulatum. RNAcentral's name for it is "bacterial SSU rRNA". It matches the Rfam family "Bacterial small subunit ribosomal RNA", at positions 151 to 702 of the family's 1533-position model. The record is from RNAcentral. Lineage: Bacteria; Bacillati; Actinomycetota; Actinomycetes; Bifidobacteriales; Bifidobacteriaceae.
GGAAAACGGGUGGUAAUGCCGGAUGCUCCGACUCCUCGCAUGGGGUGUCGGGAAAGAUUUCAUCGGUAUGGGAUGGGGUCGCGUCCUAUCAGGUAGUCGGCGGGGUAACGGCCCACCGAGCCUACGACGGGUAGCCGGCCUGAGAGGGCGACCGGCCACAUUGGGACUGAGAUACGGCCCAGACUCCUACGGGAGGCAGCAGUGGGGAAUAUUGCACAAUGGGCGCAAGCCUGAUGCAGCGACGCCGCGUGCGGGAUGACGGCCUUCGGGUUGUAAACCGCUUUUGAUCGGGAGCAAGCCUUCGGGUGAGUGUACCUUUCGAAUAAGCACCGGCUAACUACGUGCCAGCAGCCGCGGUAAUACGUAGGGUGCAAGCGUUAUCCGGAAUUAUUGGGCGUAAAGGGCUCGUAGGCGGUUCGUCGCGUCCGGUGUGAAAGUCCAUCGCUUAACGGUGGAUCUGCGCCGGGUACGGGCGGGCUGGAGUGCGGUAGGGGAGACUGGAAUUCCCGGUGUAACGGUGGAAUGUGUAGAUAUCGGGA